RNAcentral lists this ribosomal RNA (257 nucleotides) under uncultured bacterium. RNAcentral describes it as "partial 16S ribosomal RNA". It matches the Rfam family "Bacterial small subunit ribosomal RNA", at positions 524 to 776 of the family's 1533-position model. The record is from RNAcentral.
UACGUAGGGUGCGAGCGUUGUCCGGAAUUAUUGGGCGUAAAGAGCUCGUAGGCGGUGUGUCACGUCGGCCGUGAAAACCUGCAGCUUAACUGUGGGCGUGCGGUCGAUACGGGCAUCACUGGAGUUCGGCAGGGGAGACUGGAAUUCCUGGUGUAGCGGUGAAAUGUGUAGAUAUAUGGAAGAACACCGAUAACGGCGAAGGCAGUUAACUAUUCUGUUACUGACAUUGAGGCACGAAAGCGUGGGGAGCAAAACGG